Molecule: long non-coding RNA, 6258 nt
Organism: Globicephala melas (long-finned pilot whale)
Lineage: Eukaryota; Metazoa; Chordata; Mammalia; Artiodactyla; Delphinidae
Source: RefSeq, a predicted model, not a curated record
CCUCCUCGGUCCGCUGUGGCAGAGGGGCUGGGGAAACCGAGGGCUGGAGAGCGGGGUUCCGGGCGGGGCUCCGGCGGUUCUCUUUCAGCCCUUGACUUGGGGAUCGCUAGGGCCCAGCAUCGUAAGCAGUGGCGGCUGCCGCAGGGUGGAGGCGACUUGGCCCCAGGGGACCUUCCCCUGCGAUCGGUCCAGCGGAGGCGGGCACAGGGCUGCUUAUUGGCUGGUGAGGCGGGCGGCCGACGGGAGUCGGCUAACGAGGCCUCCCGGGUGGGCCGGGUUCCGAGUGCAGGGCCUGCCGAGCGUAAAGGAGUCGCGCGGGCUGCGAUACAAUUGUAGGCGUAGGACGGUCGCUGACUCCACUGAGGCACUUGAUCACCCAACUUGAAGAGGCCCUGGUCCCCUGGGGCUUGUUAAGUUCUGCGCAGAUGAUGAGGGAGGCGGCACCCUGGGGUCUGAGGACUGUAGGGACGGUCCUUGGUGGCGGGAACCCUCAUGGAUCAGCUGGGGUCUGUGGAGAGUCAGAACUACUUCUGGUAGCCCUUGGGAGGGCUUCUCGGUGGCUGUGGUUAAAGAUAAAAUCACAGCACGAGCCGAGGAGCUUAAGUCAGAACCUGGGUCUUGUCACUAACUGAAGGAAACAGUUAUCUCCUAAGCACUCAGAGCUCAUAGAGAUAUUGCUGCCUGUUGGGCGUGAACCUGGUAAAAUCCACGUGAUGAGGACAGUAUCUGACAUUCAUUGAGUACCUGCCACGUGCCAGGUUGUGCUGAGUGCCCCGCACGCACCAGGCAGGUAUUAACAUCACCAUCUUACAGGGACUCACAGUGGGUGCAGUUGGGCUUCUGUGAGGACAGAUGAGAGACUGCAGGUGUGCUACCGAAUAGUUUGGAGUCACUCUAAAGCUUCAUCAACCCUAAACUUACUUCCCAAGAGGGCAAGAGAAAUGACUUUAACUCAGCAGAAACUUGUUCACUCAUUAGAGAAAGUCUGAGGAAACCUCCAUUCCGCUUAGACUCCAAGCCUCAGAGGAAAAAAGAAAAUGGACACGUGAAGAUCCGGAUGUGUGCAGACGCCACCCAGGCACUGUCUGGGAGACCUGUGGCCGGACAGCCGAGGGCAGUGACCACAUCUGUAGUCUGAUCCCUACAAUGGGGAUGGAAACAGCAGCUGUCAGCGCUUGGAGCCACUGAAAUUUGAAUCUUAAGACCCACUCCCAGAUCUCCCAGCUUCCCCUGAAACUUGUGUUCAAAGAGGGCUGCAUUCCUGGCAGCAGCACUGGUACCACUGACAACGGAUGGGCCCUUGGUGAGUUCCCCUGUGCCCUGGCUCUCUGCUCUUCUGUGUCCACUUCCUGGAGGACAGGGCACCUGGUCUCAGCACCAGGGCAAACCUGAGGAGCAGACCAGGGUUGGUGAGCCUGUCUCUGGACAGCCUCCCUCUGGCUCCCUAACCACAGGGGCCCCACUCCGCCACAAGCUGCACGAGAGCUUCUCUACCCUCAAAUCCUACGUGAAGGAAAUGGAUCAUGAGGUUUGGGUGAUCAAGAAACUGAUUUACAAUCUCUGAGGAACAGAGAAGCCUCUAUAUUACGCCCGGGAGACAGGUGAGAUGAGCCUCACCGAGCACCUCUCCGGAUCCCACACAGUCCUCAUUCCUGGAUGGCCUGAAGAUUAACUCUGAAGCCCUCCUUGACGAUGCCUCGCUCCUCAAAACCUGCAAACCCUCCACGGCCUCCAGGACAGAGCCCAUAGUCUCCAGGAGACAAAAAGCCAGGCCCUGCCAGCUCCAGAGUCACAUUCCCAUCUUUGCUACAUUGCACCUUUGCUUGUGCCGCUUCUGUCCCCUUGUGCCGUCAUCCCACCGUCUGCAAGGCAGUUCCAGUCCUCCUUCAUCAAGCCUUCCUGGCCUCUACCACUGCCUCCACCGCACUCCUGUGUUACCCCCAACAGGACCCGAGGAAGCACCAGACAGGCUGCGUCUCCCUCUCCCCACGAGGAGCCCACAGUUGAGGACAGGACUCAGAAAUCCCCCUUCCCGUUCCCUUCUUGACCUGUGUGAGGCAACACCUUGCUCCUCCCCCCAGGCCUGACAAUGGGGAGCCCCUGGGCCGGCACCCUGCUGGCCUUCAUCCGCACCUCCCGACUUCUGAAGACCCGGUGUUCCUGGCUCGGCCUGGUGGGAAGGAGGUCUGGGUGGCUGUGCCUCACACCUGUUCCUCUCAGGCCUUCCUCCUUUCCCCUUGGAUUGGGUCAACUUGGGAAAUCUGAUCCAAAACUUUUUUUUCUCAUUAAACCUUGUUUUAAUGGGUCUCAAAAUUCUGUGACAGAGUUUUGGUCCAGUUGUUUCCAUUAAAAAGUUCUGAUUUGGGGACUUCCCUGGUGGUCCAGUGGCUAAGACUCCGCACUCCCAAUGCAGGGGACCCAGGUUCGAUCCCUGGUCAAGGAACUAGAUCCCACAUGCCGCAACGAAGAACCCGUGUGCCGCAGCUAGGACCCAGCACAGCCAAAUAAAUAUUAAGAAAAAAGUGGUUCUGAUUUUAAAAACUAGUAACUUGAAACUGCCAUGCAACACCCCUGCAACAACGGUCCACAAAACAUUCUCUUUUUCUUCUGAAGAUUUUAUGAUGCAUUGUUCUCAUUAGCCAGUCUUUUACUAUUAAACCAAAAUGGCCAAUUGAGACUGUCCUGAGACCGUUCUUCCACCACAGGCUAAGAGUUGGUGGCAGGUAUUAGGGACAAUACAGUUGACCCUUGAACAACACAGGUUUGAACUGUGGGUCCACUUAUAUGCAGCUUUUUUUUUUCCAAUAAAAAAAUCUAGGGUUGUUGAAUCUGCAGAUACGGAACUAAAGUUAUACUCGGAUCUUCAACUGCGUGGAGAGUUAGUGCCCCUAAUCCCCACGUGGCUCAAGGGUUAAGUGUAUUCGUUUAGCCUUCUGAACUUUCCUGCCAGCUCCAGUACAGCAGACUUCUCGCCUACUGCUUUGAUGACACUCACAGCUGCUGUCCAUCUCAUGUCACAAAUACCAAAAUGGCCCAGAGAAGGAUCGUCAGAGAAGCUCUCAACACACAUGGGCUUGCUGGGGACCAUUUCAACGAACGAAGCGUCACGAGGUUUCAAGAAUCUGGGGCCAUCUUCCAGACUCUUCCCAGAACAGUGAUCAACAUUCUUCACCUUAGUAGACUUGCAAGCAGCAGAUGCCCAGCCAGUGUUGACACAGCCUGGAUGACUCAGGAUAGUCACCUGGGCUGUGAAGCCAGCCACCUGCGUUGCUGGAUCAUUUUUGCUGUUGCCACGAUGAGCAACUUUAACAGACACGUUCUUGACGCUGAAGUCCACACUCCCCAAGAAGAGCUUCACUCAAAGCUACCACUGUGCACGUGGACAAAGGUGACCACUCCGCUGGGUUUGAGAACCCCCAUCUCCUCUCAUCCCACAGGCUUGGUGCCAAUGCACUAAUUGUGUGGAUGUGCUGGAGCGGUGGACGCGAGGGCUUGUCAGCUGGACGGGCUGUGGGCAGCUCGGUUCCACUGCACUGCCACCUCUACCAGCAGGAGACCCAAAGGGAGCAUUGGGAUGGAUUAUGGGCUCGUGUUUUCCGGCUAGAGGAGACAAGUGGAUGACACUGAAUGAUGGGGUUUGGCGGAGGGCAAUGGAGAGGAGGACCCGGACGUGUGUCCAGCAGCCUCCCAGCCUCUCGGGCCACCUUGGCCCCUCCCACCUGGACUGGACCCAGAGAUGAGUGCCCAGGGCUCCUUGGGGGGAGUCCCACCUUCUGUUCCCCAGGGUUACUAGCCGGAGCGCAGGCAAUGGCUCGGGACACUUGUGGACCCACGUCUGUGUUCAGGGAAGCCGGACAGUUUGGUGGGCACAGCUGCUCAAUGAGGUCAUGUCCUCAGGUGUGUCCAGGGCAGGGACUGGCUCCCAGGACCUGUGCACUGUCCAGGACGUCUGCCUGCGCCUUAGGUCUGCGAUCAUCCGACCGCAAGGAGUGGGGGCCCUGGGUGUUGCUCACCGUGAGGAGGAGACCCAGCUGGGAGGACACAGAGUUGGCUCACAAAGAGGGCAGGAGGCUGUCCUGGAAGCCUUGGACCCCUCUGUCCCCAGGACUUUCUCUCCUCUCUAUCUCUCUGUGGAGGCUGGCUCCUCUGCUUCUCCACGUGGGGCCCCUCACCCUGGCACUCAGUGCAUUGUCUGUGUCACUAGCCCUUGCAGGGACAGGCACCUGCCGCUCAGCUGUACAGAGGCUCAGAGAGCCUGCAGCACCCUGUCCAGUCAGCAUGGCCUGGGGGAGGCUCCAGGACAGGCACAUGGACCAGUGUGGAGGUCCCUCAAGGCAGCAAGUACCUGUCUAACUGUAAACUCCCCUCAUAUAGGAUGUAACGGGUACAAGAAAGGCUCUGGUCACGGGCAGAGGGGGCAUUCUGGGUGCCUGCCCUUGCCGGAUGCUCCCUGUUAAACAAACACCCCCCCCACCCAGUUCUUGCCAUGGGUGGCCCUGCUCUGCGGGAGACAUGAUGCCCUUAGACCAGAGUGCAGGCAGAGGCAAAGCCAGCUGUAUUCCCAUCUGCAGGGGAAGCCAGUGAUCUGUGAGGUGGCCAGGUCUCAAAGAACAGAAGAAUCAAAUGUACAGAGAAAAGCAGAUGGAGAAAUGGGUCCGCGGGUCCGUGGAUUCGCGCAGCAUUGCUGCAGUUAGUGCUGGUCCCCGGAGCCUUCUUCUCCUGAAACCCAAAUGGGCUGCGUGUGGCAAAGAUUUCUUGAAUAUGACACCAAAGCACACACAACGAAAGCAAAAAUAGGUAAAUUGGACUACAUCAGACAAACUUUCUGUGCAUCAAAGGGCACAAUCAAGAGAGUGAAAAGGCAACCCACAGAAUUGGAGAAAAUAUUUACAGAUCUUAUAUCUGAUAAGAGGUUAAUAUCCAAAAUAUAUUAAGAACUCCAACUCAACAACAACAACAAAAUAAAUACCAGAUUUAAAAAUGGGCAAAGGGUCUUCCCUGGUGGCGCAGUGGUUGAGAGUCCGCCUGCCGAUGCAGGGGAUACAGGUUCGUGCCCCGGUCCGGGAAGAUCCCACAUGCCGCGAAGCAACUAGGCCUGCUGCCACAACUACUGAGCUGCGCGCCAAGAGCCCGUGCUCCGCAACAAGAGAAGCUAACACAAUGAGAAGGCUGGCACCGCAACAAAGAGUAGCCCCCGCUCGCCACAACUAAAGAAAGCCCGCGCACAGCAACGAAGACCCAAUGCAGCCAAAAAUAAAUAAAUUUAUAAAAAGACCCAAAAAAACUACCAUUUGAUCCAGCAAUCCCAUCUCUGGGUAUAUACCCAAAAGAACUGAAAGACGGAUCUCAAAGAGAUAUUUGCACACCCAUGUUCAUAGCAGCAUUAUUCAUAAUAGUGAAGAGGUAGAAGCAACCCAAGUGUCCAUCGACGAAUGGAUAAACAAAAUGUGGUGUGUAUAUAUAACGGAAUAUUACUCAGCCUUAAAACAGAAGAAAUUCUGACACAUGCUACAACAUAGAUGACCCUGGAGGACAUUAUGUUGAGUGAAAUAAGUCAGUCACAAAAAGACAAAUACAAAUACAUUCCACUUAUAUGAGGUAUCUAAAGUAAUCAAAUUCAUAAAAAUGGAAAGUAGAGUGGUGGUUGCCAGUGGCUGACGGGAGGGAGGAAUAAGAAGUUGUUUAAUGGGCAGAGAGGUUUAGUUUUGCAAGAUCUGGAUCUGGAGCGCUGUUGCACAACAUUAUGAAUAUACUUACCACUACUGAGCCGUUCACUUAAAGAUGAUUAAGACGGUAAUUUUAUGGUGUGUGUGUGUGUGUGUUACCACAAUUUAAACAAAGACUGGCCAUGUCAAGAGUCUGUGAGGAUGUGCAGGAAAUGAAACCCUCAUCACUGCUGGUGGGGAUGGAAAGUGGUGCAGCUACGUGGAAAAUGGUUUGGAGGCUUCAUAAGAAGUCCAACAUACACCUCGCAUAUGAGCCAUCCAUUCUACUCCUAGAUGUUUCCCCUAGGAGAAAAGGAUUCCAUUUACACCAAAUUCUAGAAAAUGAAACUGACCUAAUAGGUAGUGACAGAAAGCAGAGUUCCCUGGAGAUGGGGUGGGGGAGGGUAAGAGGGCGGAUUCAUUGGGGCCUGCAAGACUGGGGAAGUGCCGGCCACGUUCACUGUCUUGAUUGUGGUAAUUCUUUCACAGAUGUGAAAUUAAACAAUACAUCAAAGCUUAUCAGCAAAUUGUACCCUUUAAAUUUGUGUGGUUU